AACGAACGCUGGCGGCAUGCCUAACACAUGCAAGUCGAACGAGACCUUCGGGUCUAGUGGCGCACGGGUGCGUAACGCGUGGGAACCUGCCCUUAGGUUCGGAAUAACUCCCCGAAAGGGGUGCUAAUACCGGAUAAUGUCUUCGGACCAAAGAUUUAUCGCCUUUGGAUGGGCCCGCGUUGGAUUAGCUAGUUGGUAGGGUAAAAGCCUACCAAGGCGACGAUCCAUAGCUGGUCUGAGAGGAUGAUCAGCUACACUGGGACUGAGACACGGCCCAGACUCCUACGGGAGGCAGCAGUGGGGAAUAUUGGACAAUGAGCGAAAGCCUGAUCCAGCAAUGCCGCGUGAGUGAUGAAGGCCUUAGGGUUGUAAAGCUCUUUUACCCGAGAUGAUAAUGACAGUACCGGGAGAAUAAGCUCCGGCUAACUCCGUG
This 433-nucleotide ribosomal RNA is filed under the name uncultured bacterium. RNAcentral's name for it is "partial 16S ribosomal RNA". It matches the Rfam family "Bacterial small subunit ribosomal RNA", at positions 29 to 507 of the family's 1533-position model. The record is from RNAcentral.